This 1155-nucleotide ribosomal RNA is filed under the name Streptomyces sp. Its description in RNAcentral is "bacterial SSU rRNA". It matches the Rfam family "Bacterial small subunit ribosomal RNA", at positions 67 to 1235 of the family's 1533-position model. The record is from RNAcentral. Lineage: Bacteria; Bacillati; Actinomycetota; Actinomycetes; Kitasatosporales; Streptomycetaceae.
CGAUGAACCACUUCGGUGGGGAUUAGUGGCGAACGGGUGAGUAACACGUGGGCAAUCUGCCCUUCACUCUGGGACAAGCCCUGGAAACGGGGUCUAAUACCGGAUACCACUCUCGCAGGCAUCUGUGAGGGUUGAAAGCUCCGGCGGUGAAGGAUGAGCCCGCGGCCUAUCAGCUUGUUGGUGAGGUAACGGCUCACCAAGGCGACGACGGGUAGCCGGCCUGAGAGGGCGACCGGCCACACUGGGACUGAGACACGGCCCAGACUCCUACGGGAGGCAGCAGUGGGGAAUAUUGCACAAUGGGCGAAAGCCUGAUGCAGCGACGCCGCGUGAGGGAUGACGGCCUUCGGGUUGUAAACCUCUUUCAGCAGGGAAGAAGCGAAAGUGACGGUACCUGCAGAAGAAGCGCCGGCUAACUACGUGCCAGCAGCCGCGGUAAUACGUAGGGCGCAAGCGUUGUCCGGAAUUAUUGGGCGUAAAGAGCUCGUAGGCGGCUUGUCACGUCGGGUGUGAAAGCCCGGGGCUUAACCCCGGGUCUGCAUUCGAUACGGGCUAGCUAGAGUGUGGUAGGGGAGAUCGGAAUUCCUGGUGUAGCGGUGAAAUGCGCAGAUAUCAGGAGGAACACCGGUGGCGAAGGCGGAUCUCUGGGCCAUUACUGACGCUGAGGAGCGAAAGCGUGGGGAGCGAACAGGAUUAGAUACCCUGGUAGUCCACGCCGUAAACGGUGGGAACUAGGUGUUGGCGACAUUCCACGUCGUCGGUGCCGCAGCUAACGCAUUAAGUUCCCCGCCUGGGGAGUACGGCCGCAAGGCUAAAACUCAAAGGAAUUGACGGGGGCCCGCACAAGCAGCGGAGCAUGUGGCUUAAUUCGACGCAACGCGAAGAACCUUACCAAGGCUUGACAUACACCGGAAACGUCGGAGACAGGCGCCCCCUUGUGGUCGGUGUACAGGUGGUGCAUGGCGUCGUCAGCUCGUGUCUGAGAUGUUGGGUUAAGUCCCGCAACGAGCGCAACCCUUGUUCUGUGUUGCCAGCAUGCCCUUCGGGGUGAUGGGGACUCACAGGAGACCGCCGGGGUCAACUCGGAGGAAGGUGGGGACGACGUCAAGUCAUCAUGCCCCUUAUGUCUUGGGCUGCACACGUGCUACAAUGGCC